This 929-nucleotide ribosomal RNA is filed under the name Pareclipsis gracilis. RNAcentral describes it as "partial 16S rRNA". Lineage: Eukaryota; Metazoa; Arthropoda; Insecta; Lepidoptera; Geometridae. The record is from RNAcentral.
AAAGAGUUAAAUAAUUAAAAAAGUUAUUGUGGCACAAAUAUUUUAAAUAAUUAUUUUGAAAUGAAAUGUUAUUCGUUUUUAAUUAUAUCUAGUUUUUUUAGAAAAAAAUUUAAUUUUAAAAUUAAAUUAUAAUAAAAUUAAUUAAUUAAUUUAUUAUAAUUUAAUUUUUAUAUUUUAGGGGAUAAGCUUUAAAUUAAAUUUUUAUAAUUAAUGAUUUUAAAAAAGAAAUUUUAUGAUUUAUAUUGUUAAUAAAUUUUAGUUUAUUAUAAAUAAUUUUAUUAAAAAAAAAAAUUUAAUUAAAUAUUUAAUUUUUUAUAAAAAAAUAAUUUUUAUUAGUAAAAAAUUAAAAAUAAUGAUAAAAUUAGUAUAUUUAAAUUAAUAAUUUAAAAUUUAUAAUUGAUAAUUUAGUUAAUUAAAAGUAAUUCGGCAAAUCUUUAUAUUCACUUGUUUAACAAAAACAUGUCUUUUUGAAAUUAAUUUAAAGUCUAAUCUGCCCACUGAUAAAUAUUAAAGGGCUGCAGUAUUUUGACUGUACAAAGGUAGCAUAAUCAUUAGUCUCUUAAUUGGUGACUUGUAUGAAAGAUUGAAUGAGAUAUAAACUGUCUCUUAAUUAAUUUAUAGAAUUUAAUUUUUUAUUUAAAAAGUUAAAAUAAGUUAAAAAGACGAGAAGACCCUAUAGAGUUUGAUAAAAAAGUUUAUUAUUAUAUUAUUUAUAAAGUUAAAAUUUUUAUAAAUUUAUUUAAUUUAUUGGGGUGAUAAAAAAAUAAAUUUAACUUUUUUAAUUUUAAACAUAAAUAAGUGAUUAAAUGAUCCAAUAAUAUUGAUUACAAGAAAAAAUUCCCUUAGGGAUAACAGCGUAAUUUUUUUUUUUAGUUCAAAUAAGAAAAAAAGUUUGCGACCUCGAUGUUGGAUUAAGAUAAAAUUUAAAU